Molecule: transfer RNA, 77 nt
Filed under: Rheinheimera sp.
Lineage: Bacteria; Pseudomonadati; Pseudomonadota; Gammaproteobacteria; Chromatiales; Chromatiaceae
Also listed under: 4 other names
Description: tRNA-Met
Rfam family: tRNA
About the family: Transfer RNA (tRNA) molecules are approximately 80 nucleotides in length. Their secondary structure includes four short double-helical elements and three loops (D, anti-codon, and T loops). Further hydrogen bonds mediate the characteristic L-shaped molecular structure. tRNAs have two regions of fundamental functional importance: the anti-codon, which is responsible for specific mRNA codon recognition, and the 3' end, to which the tRNAs corresponding amino acid is attached (by aminoacyl-tRNA synthetases). tRNAs cope with the degeneracy of the genetic code in two manners: having more than one tRNA (with a specific anti-codon) for a particular amino acid; and 'wobble' base-pairing, i.e. permitting non-standard base-pairing at the 3rd anti-codon position.
Source: RNAcentral
AGCAGUGUAGCUCAGUUGGUUAGAGCGACGGAUUCAUAACCCGUAGGUCACCAGUUCAAGUCUGGUCACUGCUACCA